CGCUUCCACCAGCCGCCAGUUCCAAGAACGAGGCAUCCAUCCGCGAGCUGAAGCGCGCGCUCCCCUUCUCACCAACCACCGCCACGCCGCGCGGCCCAUCCCCUGACGACGACGGCCAUGGCGGCGGCGAUGUCGGUGUCGGCCGUGGUCCCGCCGGCGGCGGCGGUGGCGCGCGCGCGGACGCUGCUCUGCGUACCCGCCACGGCGCGCGCGCCGCGGGAGAUGGCGGCGGAGGUGGCUGCCGCAGCCGCUCUCGGCGCCGACCUGGCUGAACUCCGCCUCGACCGCCUAGCCGGGUUCGCCCCGCGCCGGGACCUGCCCGCGCUCCUCGCCAAGCCUCGCACGCUCCCCGCCCUCGUCACAUACAGGCCAAAGUGGGAAGGUGGUGAAUAUGAAGGCGAUGAUGAACCGCGAUUCGAGGCACUUCAAUUGGCAAUGGAACUGGGAGCUGAAUACGUUGAUAUUGAGCUUAAGGUUGCUGACAAAUUUAUGAAAUUCAUGUCCGGAAAGAAACCCGAGAACUGUAAGCUCAUUGUUUCAUCCCAUAACUAUGAUAACACUCCUUCGGCAGAAGAGCUUGCCAUCUUGUUGGCUCAGAUUCAAGCAACUGGAGCUGAUAUAGUAAAAAUUGCGACCACUGCUACUGAAAUUGUUGAUGUUUCAAGAAUGUUUGAAAUACUUGUACACUGCCAAGAAAAGCAGGUGCCGAUCAUAGGACUGGUGAUGAACGACAGAGGAUUUAUUUCUCGUGUUCUCUGCCCCAAAUUCGGUGGAUACCUUACUUUUGGCUCUCUUGAAAAAGGAAAAGAAUCUGCACCUUCACAGCCAACCGCUGCAGACUUGAUCAAUGUGUACAACAUUAGACAGAUAGGCCCAGAUACCAAGGUGUUUGGUAUUAUUGGAAAUCCUGUUGGACACAGUAAAAGCCCGGUUUUGCAUAAUGAAGCUUUCAGAUCAGUGGGUUUGAAUGCUGUGUAUGUGCCAUUUUUGGUGGAUGACUUGGCUAAAUUUCUUUCGACCUACUCUUCACCACACUUUGCUGGCUUCAGUUGUACAAUUCCCCACAAGGAAGCUGCAGUUAGGUGCUGUGAUGAGGUUGAUCCUAUUGCCAGGGACAUUGGAGCUGUUAAUACAAUUAUUAGAAAACCUGAUGGGAAACUUGUAGGCUACAAUACUGAUUAUGUCGGUGCAAUUUCUGCUAUUGAAGAUGGAAUAAGAGCAACACAACCAACGCAUUCUACCACGUCACCACUGGCUGGAAGGCUUUUCGUUGUUAUUGGGGCUGGUGGUGCAGGGAAAGCACUUGCUUACGGUGCAAAAGAGAAGGGAGCAAGGGUUGUAAUAGCAAACCGCACUUUCGCACGUGCUCAAGAACUUGGUAACUUAAUCGGUGGGCCUGCUUUGACUCUCACGGAGUUAGAAAACUACCAUCCGGAGGAAGGGAUGAUUCUUGCAAACACAACAGCAAUAGGAAUGCAUCCAAAUGUCAAUGAAACUCCUCUAUCCAAGCAAGCGCUUAAAUCUUAUGCUGUUGUCUUCGAUGCGGUCUACACACCGAAAGAGACAAGACUUCUUAGGGAAGCUGCAGAAUGUGGAGCCACAGUUGUUAGCGGUUUGGAGAUGUUCAUAAGGCAAGCAAUGGGUCAAUUUGAGCAUUUCACGGGCAUGCCAGCUCCAGAUAGCUUGAUGCGUGAUAUUGUUCUGAGAAAGACCUAAUAAGGUUUGUUCAAAAUGCAUCCUUCCCUUACAUAGGACUGUCUGGAAAACUACUUAGGUUGUGUGAAUUACUAAAAUGUGUUGGAUAUCUGAAUGAGGUGGCGAUACAUUGUCUGGAGAUAAAGUCAGUGUGGCGGUGUGGCCAUAAUAUCUGCAAUUUUAUUUCUAUGGAUGCCUAAUGGAUGGUAAAUUUCGAUAUAACUCAGUCUUUGUUUUCAGCGGUUGAUGGUAAAUUCCGAGCGCUGGCAAAUUCUUUGGACAACCCUAGUGCCGUGAAGGGAAACAGGAGCACAUCACUCAAACCUCGCUUGUGACAGACAAACCCAUGUCUGCGGGUUUUCGUAUAAGUUUUUGGAUUUGGAAUCAGCAAUCAGUUUGAGUAGAUUGUGAGAUGGCCUCGCUUGAAAAUUUGCAUUGUAUAGCCCAAAUAGUAUAUUUGUUUGCCAAAAGUUAGUGCAUCAGAAAACAGGAAGGAGGCUUUGCUUCCCAGAUUUUAUGAGUUUUGUAGGAUACUAGUAAUAAUGAUAAAUUAAUAUACACCUGUGGAAUCAAGCA
This is an RNA transcript of Triticum aestivum (bread wheat), 2271 nucleotides long. It is a transcript of the gene named bifunctional 3-dehydroquinate dehydratase/shikimate dehydrogenase, chloroplastic, with no coding region annotated. The record is from RefSeq and is a predicted model, not a curated record. NCBI's taxonomy places the organism in Eukaryota, Viridiplantae, Streptophyta, Magnoliopsida, Poales, Poaceae. The transcript has 11 exons.